CUACGGGAGGCAGCAGUAGGGAAUCUUCCGCAAUGGACGAAAGUCUGACGGAGCAACGCCGCGUGAGUGAUGAAGGUUUUCGGAUCGUAAAGCUCUGUUGUUAGGGAAGAACAAGUGCCGUUCAAAUAGGGCGGCACCUUGACGGUACCUAACCAGAAAGCCACGGCUAACUACGUGCCAGCAGCCGCGGUAAUACGUAGGUGGCAAGCGUUGUCCGGAAUUAUUGGGCGUAAAGGGCUCGCAGGCGGUUUCUUAAGUCUGAUGUGAAAGCCCCCGGCUCAACCGGGGAGGGUCAUUGGAAACUGGGGAACUUGAGUGCAGAAGAGGAGAGUGGAAUUCCACGUGUAGCGGUGAAAUGCGUAGAGAUGUGGAGGAACACCAGUGGCGAAGGCGACUCUCUGGUCUGUAACUGACGCUGAGGAGCGAAAGCGUGGGGAGCGAACAGGAUUAGAUACCCUGGUAGUCCACGCCGUAAACGAUGAGUGCUAAGUGUUAGGGGGUUUCCGCCCCUUAGUGCUGCAGCUAACGCAUUAAGCACUC
This 540-nucleotide ribosomal RNA is filed under the name Bacillus subtilis. Its description in RNAcentral is "bacterial SSU rRNA". It matches the Rfam family "Bacterial small subunit ribosomal RNA", at positions 339 to 869 of the family's 1533-position model. The record is from RNAcentral. Lineage: Bacteria; Bacillati; Bacillota; Bacilli; Caryophanales; Bacillaceae.